Molecule: ribosomal RNA, 303 nt
Filed under: uncultured bacterium
Lineage: Bacteria
Description: partial 16S ribosomal RNA
Rfam family: Bacterial small subunit ribosomal RNA
Source: RNAcentral
AGCAGCAGCCGCGGGAAUACGUAGGUGGCAAGCGUUGUCCGGAAUUAUUGGGCGUAAAGGGCUCGCAGGCGGUUUCUUAAGUCUGAUGUGAAAGCCCCCGGCUCAACCGGGGAGGGUCAUUGGAAACUGGGAAACUUGAGUGCAGAAGAGGAGAGUGGAAUUCCACGUGUAGCGGUGAAAUGCGUAGAGAUGUGGAGGAACACCAGUGGCGAAGGCGACUCUCUGGUCUGUAACUGACGCUGAGGAGCGAAAGCGUGGGGAGCGAGCAGGAUUAGAUACCCCGGUAGUCCCUGUCUCUUAUAC